Molecule: transfer RNA, 74 nt
Filed under: Pseudomonadales bacterium
Lineage: Bacteria; Pseudomonadati; Pseudomonadota; Gammaproteobacteria; Pseudomonadales
Description: tRNA-Gln
Rfam family: tRNA
About the family: Transfer RNA (tRNA) molecules are approximately 80 nucleotides in length. Their secondary structure includes four short double-helical elements and three loops (D, anti-codon, and T loops).
Source: RNAcentral
UGGCGGUUCGUCUAAUGGCAAGAUACUAGACUCUGACUCUAGGGAUGCAGGUUCGAAUCCUGCACCGCCAGCCA